CAACGCGACCCCAGGUCAGGCGGGGCUACCCGCUGAG
RNAcentral lists this ribosomal RNA (37 nucleotides) under Ficus eugeniifolia. RNAcentral's name for it is "partial 28S ribosomal RNA". The record is from RNAcentral. RNAcentral also lists the same sequence under 1 other name. Lineage: Eukaryota; Viridiplantae; Streptophyta; Magnoliopsida; Rosales; Moraceae.